Molecule: long non-coding RNA, 1602 nt
Organism: Capsicum annuum
Lineage: Eukaryota; Viridiplantae; Streptophyta; Magnoliopsida; Solanales; Solanaceae
Exons: 2
Source: RefSeq, a predicted model, not a curated record
AUAUAUAUAUAUAUAUAUAUAUUUUAGAUGUUAUUUUAAGAUCGAUAGGACGGAUCAAAAUUAAUCAAUAUUUUUCAAACCAAUGCAAUAAAUAAUGCAUCUGCCAAAACAGAGUCACGGGUAGUGUUCCUUUCCCACAAAAAAACCAUUGUCUUCUGCCCAUCUUCUUUCCCAAAUCAGCACAAGAACCAAAACCUUUUUUUUCUCUUUUUUCUUUCUCCCCUUCUUCCUCAUACCAAAAUCGUAACCGUAGCACUCCCAUGGCUAGCUGGCCGCCUGCCACUACCCUACGAAAAUCUCACCAAAAUCAGACACUCCAGCUCGCGAAUCCUCCAACAGCAGGAAAAAUCAGUUCCGAAUGGGUGAAAAUGAAUUAAAACGGUUCAAUCCAUCAUUUAAGAGUUCUGAAAAGUUGAGAUAUGGGGAGAGAAGUCUUUGAUCCGAUUUUAAAAUUCAAGUUCAUUUUCCCACCUCUUUUUAUUUUUGAGGUUUCAAAUCCGGAUUUGGCUAUAUAUACGGGUAUUCCUUCACCCAUGGAGGGAGGAGAAGAAAGCAAGUGAAUUCGAGAAAAAGAGAGCUUAACAAAAUCGAAAAGGGGAGAGAAUAGAAGCAAAAGCAAAGUGGAUACGGAUUCGAAGCUCUGAGUUGAGUUCUUCGUGGGAAGUAGCUUGACGUUAAAAGCCCAAGUUUGCUGCGCCCAAAAAGAUCGCAAAAUUAUGGGUAUAUGAACGUGUGGCCCUGUGCGGGUUUCAACCGGUUUGAUUUUGUUGCUAUUUGUUCUCACUCAAUAGGCAUGAUGUGGUUUAAAUUUUGUAUUGAUUAAAUUGUUACUCGACGGAUGGAUAUGGAUUUUAAUUCUGAAUUUUUUUAUGUUGUGUUGGAUCAGUAAAUACGCGAUUAUGUUAUUUUGGAUUCGAAAUCAUAUUAGUGUUAGUGUUCUUUGUUUCGGGCUCGGACUGCAGUAAAAUUUAAUGUCGUGUUUCAAUUUUUUCUUUUUUUUUUUUUGGAUCUGUCCGGGGGUUGUUUACCGCCUUGUUUUGACCAAAGCAAGUCUUGGAAAGAAAAUUUACAUUGUCAUAUUCCUGCUCUUUGAAAGAAAAUUUUUUUAAAUUGGGAGUUGCUCUUAAUUACCCUUGGGUAAAAAUGAUAACUUUGGCUAGAUAGUUUGAAACAUGGGAGGACUGUUGGUUUGUAUGUGCAUGAUAGCUCCAGUUGGAUGCAAAAUUUGUUUGAGUUCAUAUUCAAUCUUAUUUACUUUGGACUGCACAACCAACAUGGUCACCGAUUGCAUUAUUUUCAUUACUCGUUUAUAUCACUUAAAUUAGUUACUAGUCCUUAUUUCCUUUUAUCUUUUUAUGUGAACGCGUGAGUUGGAGUUUCAACGGAACUCAUUUUGAUCCAACAUCGGGUUAAUUGCUACAAGGAUCUCAGAGCUUCGGGAUUGCAUAUACUUGAAAACUCGAGCCCGUUAGGAGUCUAGUAUCUCUUAGUCCCUUCUCUUUAUUUAAUAUCCAUGCUAUGUUGUCAUUUUUGUUAAGACUCGAAACGGUAAUUAGUUAUCAUUGGCUAUUGAAAUUUUGUUUUUUAUUGUGUUUAUAUUGA